CCUACGGGCGGCAGCAGUGGGGAAUAUUGGACAAUGGGGGAAACCCUGAUCCAGCGACGCCGCGUGAGUGAAGACGUAUUUCGGUACGUAAAGCUCUAUCAGCAGGAAAGAAAAUGACGGUACCUGACUAAGAAGCCCCGGCUAACUACGUGCCAGCAUCGGCGGUAAUACGGAGGGGGCCAGCGUUAUACGGAUUUACUGGGUGUAAAGGGGGGGUAGACGGGAGGGCAAGGCUGGAGUGAAAUGCCGGGGUCUAAACCCGGAACCGCUGUUGAAACUGUGAAGCUUGAGUGCAGGAGGGGUAAGCGGAAUGCGUGGUGUAGCGGUGAAAUGCGUAGAUAUCAGGAGGAACACCGGCGGCGAAGGCGGCUUACUGGACUGUAACUGACGUUGAUGCUCGAAAGCGUGGGGAUCAAACAGGAUUAGAUACCCUAGUAGUC
RNAcentral lists this ribosomal RNA (440 nucleotides) under uncultured bacterium. Its description in RNAcentral is "partial 16S ribosomal RNA". It matches the Rfam family "Bacterial small subunit ribosomal RNA", at positions 338 to 795 of the family's 1533-position model. The record is from RNAcentral.